RNAcentral lists this ribosomal RNA (253 nucleotides) under uncultured bacterium. RNAcentral's name for it is "partial 16S ribosomal RNA". It matches the Rfam family "Bacterial small subunit ribosomal RNA", at positions 524 to 776 of the family's 1533-position model. The record is from RNAcentral.
GACGGAGGGCGCAAGCGUUGUUCGGAAUUACUGGGCGUAAAGCGCGCGCAGGCGGGAAGGUAAGUCUGGAGUGAAAUUCCGGGGCUCAACUCCGGAGCUGCUUUGGAUACUGUCUUUCUAGGGACCGGUAGAGGCCGGUGGAAUUCCCGGUGUAGCGGUGGAAUGCGUAGAGAUCGGGAAGAACACCCGUGGCGAAGGCGGUCUGCUGGGCAGUUUCUGACACUGAUGCGCGACAGCGUGGGGAGCAAACAGG